GAGCGCAGAGACAGGUGGUGCAUGGCUGUCGUCAGCUCGUGUUGUGAAAUGUUGGGUUAAGUCCCGUAACGAGCGCAACCCUUGUCCUUAUUUGCCAGCGGGUAAUGCCGGGAACUCUAAGGAGACUGCCGGUGACAAACCGGAGGAAGGUGGGGACGACGUCAAGUCAUCAUGGCCCUUACGAGUAGGGCUACACACGUGCUACAAUGGCCGGUACAAAGGGUUGCGAGCUCGCGAGAGUCAGCUAAUCCCGAAAAGCCGGUCUCAGUCCGGAUCGGAGUCUGCAACUCGACUCCGUGAAGUCGGAAUCGCUAGUAAUCGUGAAUCAGAAUGUCACGGUGAAUACGUUCCCGGGCCUUGCACACACCGCCCGU
Molecule: ribosomal RNA, 374 nt
Filed under: uncultured bacterium
Lineage: Bacteria
Description: bacterial SSU rRNA
Rfam family: Bacterial small subunit ribosomal RNA
Source: RNAcentral